CGUCAAGUCAGUAUGGCCCUUACGGCCAGGGCUGCACACGUGCUACAAUGCCCAGUACAGUGGGAGGCGAAACCGCGAGGUGGAGCAAAUCCUCAAAACUGGGCCCAGUUCAGAUUGGAGUCUGCAACUCGACUCCAUGAAGCCGGAAUCGCUAGUAAUCGCGGAUCAGCAAUGCCGCGGUGAAUACGUUCCCGGGUCUU
RNAcentral lists this ribosomal RNA (200 nucleotides) under uncultured organism. Its description in RNAcentral is "partial small subunit ribosomal RNA". It matches the Rfam family "Bacterial small subunit ribosomal RNA", at positions 1183 to 1382 of the family's 1533-position model. The record is from RNAcentral.